AAUGUUAUCUGGAGGAAUAAUCUAACAUGAAAACGCUGCGCUAUUCCAGCGUGGGAGCAUAAACAAAACCUAAUUGGGCGAGCUCGUGGCGUGCUUUUGGGAUACGAAUGUUUCCUUUGAUCACACUUUAGAGCUUUAUGUACGUUGUUUCUUAAGGCGCCAUGCAUCUAACAACCACAAAUCCUCGGAAGAAAAGCUUGGAUUAAACUAUCAUUUCGUUCGCUCCACGAAUGAUGAUAUAUAAG
This 245-nucleotide long non-coding RNA is filed under the name Hordeum vulgare. RNAcentral's name for it is "long non-coding RNA (HVUL_LNC005437)". The record is from RNAcentral. Lineage: Eukaryota; Viridiplantae; Streptophyta; Magnoliopsida; Poales; Poaceae.